This 734-nucleotide ribosomal RNA is filed under the name uncultured Bacillota bacterium. RNAcentral's name for it is "bacterial SSU rRNA". It matches the Rfam family "Bacterial small subunit ribosomal RNA", at positions 61 to 794 of the family's 1533-position model. Lineage: Bacteria; Bacillati; Bacillota. The record is from RNAcentral.
GUCGAGCGUGGCUUCGUUCUCUCGCAAGAGAGGACGAAGUCUAGCGGCGAACGGGUGAGUAACACGUGAGAAACCUGCCCUCCGGACGGGGACAACCUCGGGAAACCGGGGCUAAUACCGGAUUCGCUCGCCGGGUCGCAUGGCCUGGUGAGGAAAGGACGCAAGUCGCCGGAGGAGGGUCUCGCGGCCUAUCAGCUUGUUGGUGGGGUAACGGCCUACCAAGGCUAUGACGGGUAGCUGACCUGAGAGGGUGGUCAGCCACACUGGAACUGAGAUACGGUCCAGACUCCUACGGGAGGCAGCAGUUGGGAAUCUUGGGCAAUGGGCGAAAGCCUGACCCAGCGACGCCGCGUGGGGGAUGAAGGCCUUCGGGUUGUAAACCCCUGUCAUGAGGGACGAAGCCGCAAGGUGACGGUACCUCAGGAGGAAGCCCCGGCUAACUACGUGCCAGCAGCCGCGGUAAGACGUAGGGGGCAAGCGUUGUCCGGAAUCACUGGGCGUAAAGCGCGUGUAGGCGGUUCGGCCAGUCCCGUGUGAAAGCCUCCGGCUCAACUGGAGGACGCCGCGGGAUACUGCCGGACUCGAGGACAGGAGAGGGAAGUGGAAUUCCCGGUGUAGCGGUGAAAUGCGUAGAUAUCGGGAGGAACGCCAGUGGCGAAGGCGGCUUCCUGGCCUGUCCCUGACGCUGAGACGCGAAAGCUGGGGGAGCGAACGGGAUUAGAUACCCCGGUAGU